CUUGUAAAGCCUGUACAGGUCCAGCACCUGUUUCGCCAUGAUGGGAAUGCGGUUCACAGGAGUUCCUGCACACGCAAAGGAGCGGAUGUUUUCUCUUGCACAGACUUCUGGGAAGUAACCAGUUCAUGGACUGGAAGCUGACAGACCGAGCUUGGAGUCUGACAGAGAAACGAGAUCCCACUGGGAACACCGGGUGGUGUUUUUUCUCCAUGCUGGAUGAAACAGCUUCAGCAGACACAGAGCUUGAUCCAUUGGAGUCGGGCAUAGCAUGUUCGGAGUCCUGGAACGUGGGAAUCUUGGGCUGAAUCAAGGAUUCAAACGCUGAUGGAGUUUUCAGGAGUUAAACCACCAAAAACAGCAUUUCCCCUUGUGGGGACCAGGCCCAGUUCCCGGAACAGCGAGUCCCCACAACGCUGUUGUGCAGUAUGUCAGGAAGAUGGUCCCCACAAGGUAUUAUAAACAAACACACAC
Molecule: long non-coding RNA, 471 nt
Organism: Poecilia latipinna (sailfin molly)
Lineage: Eukaryota; Metazoa; Chordata; Actinopteri; Cyprinodontiformes; Poeciliidae
Exons: 3
Source: RefSeq, a predicted model, not a curated record